This 133-nucleotide small nucleolar RNA is filed under the name Chinchilla lanigera (long-tailed chinchilla). The record is from RNAcentral. Lineage: Eukaryota; Metazoa; Chordata; Mammalia; Rodentia; Chinchillidae.
GAGUAAUGAGGUUAGGGUUUCUGACUGCUUUCUGUCAAGAGAAAAAAUAUUUCUGAGGUGCUAAGCAAACCUUCGGAGGUAAAUUAGCAGCAGGGCUUAUUUAGCCACUGCUGUCCAUCACCUUCAGACAACU